AGGAGCAUGAGUCAGCUCAAAGCCGAGGGCAUUGCAGUUAGGAAUGCAGAGCAAGCAAGCUCCUUGGGUCUUGCCUUUUUCUCUGCUUCAGAUUUGCAGGUAUAGAACAGCAGCAUUUUUUUUUUAACCGAAAAAGACUCUGGAAUUUGGCAGACAAAAUCUAUAGAGAUUGAUGGCCCUUUUAAGCUGGGAACCUAAUUAAUUGACGAAGAUGAUGAAUGUGGCUGAGAGUUCUGCUCUGCCGAACCCGGGCUCACUGUGCAUACCCAGAUCAGAUCAUCUUCAUCAAGGCAUCAACUCAUCUGCCAGUGAAAAGAAGAUUGCCCCAGCACUUGCUGAUUCACAAGGACCUUCAGCUCCAGAUUUGAACUGUGGAGACAUCCAACUCUAUGGGCUGAGCAGCUAUCGGUUUCUCAACCCCUCCAGCAUCUAGGCAAACACUGUCGGAUAACCCAGGUCAUCUACGAUUUGGUCUACCUAAGCCAACCUUAUCUGAGUGCAAAAUAGGAAGGAAGGAGUGAACAAAUACGGAACUGUCCUCAAAGGCCAUAUGUAGAACAUUGUCACUACUGAUGAUUAGUGUCCUGAAUCCAGAAACUACUCAGGGUGUUUCUUAUAAAAGUAUCUUCAUCUCUCCCUCACCAUGGCUCAACUUGCCAUAUGAUACCAAGAGUCCUAGAUGACAGAUUCAUUUCCAGAGACACAACACUGGAGGCAUCUUACAAACGAAAAGCAGUUGCACUUUAGCUUUUCUACUUCUGUGCUCAAAUCCAAAAAUAUCCUCAUAGGCUCAUGUUUGGAAGUUAAUUGUACCACUGAGCAGCAGCCUCCAGUUAAAUUAAGAAAAUUCUUGGAGGACCGUUGGGCUACCAGAUCAUGUUUCCCAGCAGGUGGCGCUGUUCUGAGACACUGUGCCGCUUUAGCGGGUGGGGUCCAGGCUGGCAGAAGUUGGAAAGCAGAACUGGGACUUGGAAAGGGUUGUUCCUCUUUCGCAACUGGCUUCUUCGUCAACCAUGAUGUAAACAGCCUCCACUACAUUCUCCAGCUGCCCUGAACUGUGUAGUCCUGAAUUCUUCAUGAUGGAGUGAACUCUGAAAGUACAAACUGAUACACAUCUUUAAUCCUUGUUUCUGUCUGCCAUUGUGGUCAUCGAACACUAAUGUAUCUAGGUAUAGCUACAUUGCUGUCAAUUGCAUGAAAUUAGUCAAACUGUCUCUCUCAGUCAGAGGCCUAUGUUUUGUCAGUUAACAAUGGGAAAGCGCAGGAACAUGCAGACUGUCAGCAACCUGUCAUUCCUUGAUUCCAGGCUCCAUCAAUCUCUUUUACAUCUUUGCUGUCAAAUUUCAGAGAUGUAAAACUGUGGGAAGUUUCUUUAUAGAGCUGAGAUUUAUUUCAUUUUCCUUCAUUUUUAAAAUGGUCACAAGUUACCAAUUUUAAAGGAACCAAUGAAAGAAUAUGAAAUAAAAUAUGAAAAUAAAACCUAAUAC
This 1487-nucleotide long non-coding RNA is filed under the name Mus pahari (shrew mouse). Its description in RNAcentral is "predicted gene, 20743 (MGP_PahariEiJ_G0012495.1)". Lineage: Eukaryota; Metazoa; Chordata; Mammalia; Rodentia; Muridae. The record is from RNAcentral.